GUAAAUCAUUUGCACUGACAUACAUAAAUGUUAUGGCCAAUGCCCAACAUCUAGCCAAUUCACAAACUGGUUGGCCACUUUUAGGUUUGGCCAAAGUCCAAAAUAUAUGAGAAUUUACAACUAUUUUGGACUUUGGCCAGCCAAUCCACAAUGCGCUCAACAAUCAGUGGCCAAUUUGAGAUUUGUCCAAGAAAAAGUGACCAAGCCUAGAAGUUUUGAGGAGCUAUGUAGCAGAGUGUAUUCUUGCAAUUUUGGUUAUUCACCAGCAAGAAUGGGAUUGUUUGUCACAUCACAUGUUGGUCUUACAAUAUUGAUGCAAGGGAUUAUAAAACUAAUAUGAAUGGG
Molecule: long non-coding RNA, 345 nt
Filed under: Androctonus crassicauda
Lineage: Eukaryota; Metazoa; Arthropoda; Arachnida; Scorpiones; Buthidae
Source: RNAcentral